Engraulis encrasicolus (European anchovy) is the source of this 445-nucleotide long non-coding RNA. RefSeq lists it as uncharacterized. The transcript is spliced from 3 exons. The record is from RefSeq and is a predicted model, not a curated record. Lineage: Eukaryota; Metazoa; Chordata; Actinopteri; Clupeiformes; Engraulidae.
CUAAUAUCAUUGGUUAAGAACAAAUUGGUUGAUUUAACAAAGAUAUUGGUUAACUUUAAUAACAGAUUGGUUGAAAAAUGACUAAUAUCAUUGGUUAAGCAAAUGUUAACUAAGAGAUUGGUAACUGACGCAGGUCUGACGCUCAACGUCAAGUACGUAACUCUGCUUCUCAAUUUUCUGACAAAGCCGCCAUCUUGGUGCUGCAGGAAAGCCGUUUGAGAUAUUGGUGGAAUUCAAACACUUUGUGAGAUGACAGAAUAUUGCUGAAGGAUCCUACAUGGAAGCUGGCUGAUUACACGGAGUGAUUCCUCUGGUGUGGUGUACCUCAGAGAAAUAAACACUGUUGCAAGAGCUGAGAAGAUGGCCAAGAUAUCCUUAUUGCUGGAUGGUAGCUCUGGUCGUAGUGGACCAUAUCUGCAAAUGCUUCUGAACAUUGACAGAAUGU